AAGGCUGCCUUAACAUGCAGUCGAACGGCAGCACGGACUUCGGUCUGGUGGCGAGUGGCGAACGGGUGAGUAAUGUAUCGGAACGUGCCUAGUAGCGGGGGAUAACUACGCGAAAGCGUAGCUAAUACCGCAUACGCCCUACGGGGGAAAGCAGGGGAUCGCAAGACCUUGCACUAUUAGAGCGGCCGAUAUCGGAUUAGCUAGUUGGUGGGGUAACGGCUCACCAAGGCGACGAUCCGUAGCUGGUUUGAGAGGACGACCAGCCACACUGGGACUGAGACACGGCCCAGACUCCUACGGGAGGCAGCAGUGGGGAAUUUUGGACAAUGGGGGAAACCCUGAUCCAGCCAUCCCGCGUGUGCGAUGAAGGCCUUCGGGUUGUAAAGCACUUUUGGCAGGAAAGAAACGUCAUGGGCUAAUACCCCGUGAAACUGACGGUACCUGCAGAAUAAGCACCGGCUAACUACGUGCCAGCAGCCGGGGGUAAUACA
RNAcentral lists this ribosomal RNA (491 nucleotides) under Achromobacter marplatensis. RNAcentral's name for it is "bacterial SSU rRNA". It matches the Rfam family "Bacterial small subunit ribosomal RNA", at positions 40 to 527 of the family's 1533-position model. Lineage: Bacteria; Pseudomonadati; Pseudomonadota; Betaproteobacteria; Burkholderiales; Alcaligenaceae. The record is from RNAcentral.